RNA transcript from Delphinapterus leucas (beluga whale), 2624 nucleotides. It is a transcript of the gene named F-box protein 39, with no coding region annotated. The record is from RefSeq and is a predicted model, not a curated record. Lineage: Eukaryota; Metazoa; Chordata; Mammalia; Artiodactyla; Monodontidae.
CACAGCUGCAGUGGACAUCCCGGUUGCUUGAUGGACGAAGAAGGCCAACUGAUCCAGCCUCAAGACCAAAGCUGCUGGGCCACCCUGCCCGAUGUGUGCCUACAUCGUAUUUUCUGGUGGCUGGGAGACAAGGACAGGUCCAGAGCAGCCCUUGUCUGCAGAAGGUGGAACCAGAUGAUGUAUUCGGCCGACCUCUGGCGACACAGGGCCAUCACGUUUAGUGGGAGACAUUCCAGGGUACACGCGUACGAAUUUGAGUCGGCUGUUUGGUAUGUUAAGAAAUUUGGUCGUUAUCUGGAGCACCUGGAGAUCAAAUUCCUGACUCCUUACAGCGUUGUCCUGACCAGGAAGUUCCAGGUCACCAUGCAAGGCCUUUUCUCGUGUCUGGGCAAGAGAAACAACCGUCUGAAAUCCCUCUCCAUCCAGUACCUGGAACUGGACCGCCUGGUCUGGAGGAACAGCAUCAGAAGCUUGUUCUUGAAAAGCUUGAGCUCCUUCUUGAAGAAAAUGGGCAAACACCUGGAUCAUCUCAACCUAAAAGGGGCUAGGCUCACCGUGGAGCAGGGCUGCCACAUCCUCAACUCCCUGAGCUACUUAAGGACAGAGAGUGCGGUGUCAGAGCUCAACAUCGAGGACUACUUCAGCCACCGCCUCGCUGUCUACAGCAGCCUCCAGUUCAACCAGACCAUGGCCACGUUCCGCAACCUGGUGUCCCUGACCCUCAACUACAACUGCAUCUCCGAUGAGCUGCUGGAGAACUUGGGUGAGAACAAUGCCGGCACCCUCUGGAGCAUGAACAUCAAGUGCCACGCUCAUGACCCCCACGGGCAGGUCGUCUGGGGCAUGUCCUGGGCCAAGCUGGCCAGGUACGCCACCAAGCUGAAAGUCAACUUCGUCUUUGAGAAAGUCGUGAAGUAUGAGCGCUUGGCCCGGAUCCUCCUACAGGAGAUCCCGAUCAGGAGCAUCAGUCUGAGAAACUGCUCUUUCAGCAACCCCGACUGGUCCAUGAAGCCCACUCUGACGGAUCUCCUGCCCACCUUCCGACACACUCUGCAGAAACUAAGUUUUGAGUUCAACAACAACCAUGAGUCUCUGGAGGAGGAGCUGCACCUCCUCAUCUUAUCCUGCACGGAGUUGUUUUACUUCAACAUCUGGGCUUUCCUUGAUGUUAACUUUGUGGAGCAGAUCCUGAAGAGUCAGGAAGAAGGGCGGUGUGCCCUGCGCACACUCAAGCCACAGAACUGAAAGCCCAAAGUCGCUUGGAGCAGUGUCUUACUCGGGGACCCUGACUUUUGCUAAUCUCCCUCCGGAAAAGGUGAUUUCCACAUUCACUGUCAUAUCUGAAUGUCCCUGCAAUGCUGUUGGGUGCCUAUGGUUCCUGUUUCAUGAACAUUCAGAAAAGAUCAACACCGGCAAGUGGUGUGGAGUCCCUACCUUGUUACCAAACUCGGGUUCUGCUGCUUGUCACUCAAGAAUCCAAUACUGAGAGACAAGUGUUGGGUAAAAGGAAAGAUAGCUUUGUUGAGGAAGCCAGCAAUCCUGGGGAGAAGGUGGACUCAUGUCCAGUGGAGAACCACUGGACAUGUGGAGAACCAACCAAUGUCAGUGGAGAACCAACUCCCCACUGUUGAUCGGGGGCAAGAGCUUUUAAAGGGGAGUUUUAGGGGUGCACAGGUGGGUGGGGGGCUAUGUGCAGAAGAGCACAGCCAGCUCCAACAGUCACCUUGAACUUGGUCAUUGGUGGUCUGAUCAGCCUCAUCUUGAUUGUUUUAAGUGCAGUUAAUCUUCAGUUCCAGGGUCGCUUUGUUCCCAUUUCCUUGAGGCCAGGUCUUGGAAUUGUGCAAGAUGGAGCAGCUCAUGUCACGGCCACAGUCUGGUCAUCAUGUAGGUAACUUCUUCCACCUGGUGGAGGUUUCAGUAUCUGUAAAACAGCUCAAAGGAUAUGGCUCAGAAUAUUAUCUGUAGCCCUUGAGGAGGAGCUAAAUGUCCUUGACUUUCCUUAAUGGUUAAACUAUGAUUAUUUUGUCUUCUUUGACUGUUUGCAUUUCUUUCUGCAUUUUCUUGUCUGAUUAAAUUUAUUCUUUGGCUAAAGUUUUUCUACAGACAAGAGGUGGCAGAGGGUAAGGGGUAUCUGUCCCAGAAAGGCCCCAUAGAGUCCUGCUUGGUUAUAAUCUAAGGAGAGCUCCCAGGUCUUAGUUGCUGAAACCAGAAGGGCCCUUGGGAGCCAUCUAGUGCCUGUGGACCAGAGAUGAGGCAGCUUGCUUUAGGGGAGAGGGAAGGCUCAGCUGGAGUGCAGACCACCUGGGAGACUGACUGAUUGAUUGAUUGGUGUAAUGAUUUAUUCAUGCUGUGGACCAGUUCUGGUUAGUUUCCUUUCGUCCCCAAACACAGGAUCUAAGCAUAGAGGACUCUUUUAUGGAAAACAUGUUAACAGAAGUAACAUUUUUAUGAACAUGUUUUCCAUAAAAGAGUGGAUUUGUUUUCCAGUUUUGCAAAUCUCUUGCACAUCCCGCUUAAUAGCAGACAGCUGGGUUCUCAUCCGGGUUUCUGUGGUCUGUCAUAACGUCAGACGCUGUGCGGGGAGCCUCCGCAAAACUCCAGAGAGAAUUAAAGUGAAAAAGGCA